AGAGCGAACGCUGGCGGCGUGCUUAACACAUGCAAGUCGAACGCGCAGCAUUCUGUAGCAAUACAGGGUGUGGGCGCGUGGCGAACGGGUGCGUAACACGUGGAUAACCUUCCUUGAGGUGGGGAAUAACCCAGUGAAAAUUGGGCUAAUACCGCAUAACAUCGCGAUGGCACAUGCUGAUGCGAUCAAAGGCGCAAGUCGCCACAAGAGGGAUCCGCGGCCGAUUAGCUUGUUGGCGAGGUAAUGGCUCACCAAGGCAAUGAUCGGUAGCCGGACUGAGAGGUUGGCCGGCCACACUGGAACUGAGACACGGUCCAGACUCCUACGGGAGGCAGCAGUGGGGAAUAUUGGACAAUGGGCGCAAGCCUGAUCCAGCCAUGCCGCGUGAGUGAUGAAGGCCCUAGGGUUGUAAAGCUCUUUGUGCGGGAAGAUAAUGACGGUACCGCAAGAAUAACGCCCGGCUAACUUCGCG
Molecule: ribosomal RNA, 472 nt
Filed under: uncultured bacterium
Lineage: Bacteria
Description: SSU rRNA
Rfam family: Bacterial small subunit ribosomal RNA
Source: RNAcentral